RNAcentral lists this ribosomal RNA (519 nucleotides) under uncultured eukaryote. RNAcentral describes it as "bacterial SSU rRNA". It matches the Rfam family "Eukaryotic small subunit ribosomal RNA", at positions 1161 to 1699 of the family's 1831-position model. The record is from RNAcentral.
AGGGCACCACCAGGUGUGGAGCAUGCGGCUUAAUUUGACUCAACACGGGGAAACUAACUCGGCCCGGACGCAGGAAGGAUUGACAGAUUAAGAGCUCUUUCUUGAUUCUGCGGGUUGUGGUGCAUGGCCGUUCUUCGAUGGUGGAGCGAUUUGUCUGGUUAAUUCCGAUAACGAUCGAGACUCUAGCCUACUAAAUAGACGCCCCGGUCCUACACGCCGGGCGGUCUUCUUAGAGGGACAAGCGGCGUCUAGCCGCGCGAGACGGAGCAAUAACAGGUCUGUGAUGCCCUUAGAUGUCCGGGGCCGCACGCGCGCUACACUGAAGUGAUCAGCGUGCAUUUUGAAACCUACUCUGUCAAGAGUGGGGAACCCAAUGAACCUUCUUCGUGAUUGGGAUAGGGGAUUGUAAUUAUUCCCCUUGAACGAGGAAUUCCCAGUAAGCGCGAAUCAUAAGUUUGCGCUGAUUACGUCCCUGCCCUUUGUACACACCGCCCGUCGCUACUACCGAUUGAAUGUUUU